RNAcentral lists this ribosomal RNA (1048 nucleotides) under Escherichia coli. RNAcentral describes it as "partial 23S ribosomal RNA". It matches the Rfam family "Bacterial large subunit ribosomal RNA", at positions 165 to 1253 of the family's 2925-position model. The record is from RNAcentral. Lineage: Bacteria; Pseudomonadati; Pseudomonadota; Gammaproteobacteria; Enterobacterales; Enterobacteriaceae.
CAUAGGUUAAUGAGGCGAACCGGGGGAACUGAAACAUCUAAGUACCCCGAGGAAAAGAAAUCAACCGAGAUUCCCCCAGUAGCGGCGAGCGAACGGGGAGGAGCCCAGAGCCUGAAUCAGUGUGUGUGUUAGUGGAAGCGUCUGGAAAGGCGCGCGAUACAGGGUGACAGCCCCGUACACAAAAAUGCACAUACUGUGAGCUCGAUGAGUAGGGCGGGACACGUGGUAUCCUGUCUGAAUAUGGGGGGACCAUCCUCCAAGGCUAAAUACUCCUGACUGACCGAUAGUGAACCAGUACCGUGAGGGAAAGGCGAAAAGAACCCCGGCGAGGGGAGUGAAAAAGAACCUGAAACCGUGUACGUACAAGCAGUGGGAGCCUCUUUAUGGGGUGACUGCGUACCUUUUGUAUAAUGGGUCAGCGACUUAUAUUCUGUAGCAAGGUUAACCGAAUAGGGGAGCCGAAGGGAAACCGAGUCUUAACUGGGCGUUAAGUUGCAGGGUAUAGACCCGAAACCCGGUGAUCUAGCCAUGGGCAGGUUGAAGGUUGGGUAACACUAACUGGAGGACCGAACCGACUAAUGUUGAAAAAUUAGCGGAUGACUUGUGGCUGGGGGUGAAAGGCCAAUCAAACCGGGAGAUAGCUGGUUCUCCCCGAAAGCUAUUUAGGUAGCGCCUCGUGAAUUCAUCUCCGGGGGUAGAGCACUGUUUCGGCAAGGGGGUCAUCCCGACUUACCAACCCGAUGCAAACUGCGAAUACCGGAGAAUGUUAUCACGGGAGACACACGGCGGGUGCUAACGUCCGUCGUGAAGAGGGAAACAACCCAGACCGCCAGCUAAGGUCCCAAAGUCAUGGUUAAGUGGGAAACGAUGUGGGAAGGCCCAGACAGCCAGGAUGUUGGCUUAGAAGCAGCCAUCAUUUAAAGAAAGCGUAAUAGCUCACUGGUCGAGUCGGCCUGCGCGGAAGAUGUAACGGGGCUAAACCAUGCACCGAAGCUGCGGCAGCGACACUAUGUGUUGUUGGGUAGGGGAGCGUUCUGUAAGCCUGUGA